RNAcentral lists this unclassified non-coding RNA (300 nucleotides) under uncultured Sordariomycetes. RNAcentral's name for it is "sequence contains 5.8S rRNA gene, ITS2". The stretch from base 1 to 99 matches the Rfam family "5.8S ribosomal RNA", at positions 51 to 154 of the family's 154-position model. Lineage: Eukaryota; Fungi; Ascomycota; Sordariomycetes. The record is from RNAcentral.
GGCAGCGUCAGAUGUGUAUAAGAGACAGGUGAAUCAUCGAAUCUUUGAACGCACAUUGCGCCCAUUAGUAUUCUAACGGGCAUGCCUGUUCGAGCGUCAUUUCAACCCUCAAGCCCUGCUUGGUGUUGGGGCCCUAGUGUCUAGGCCCUGUAACUUAGUGGCGGAUCUGCUGUAUCCUGAGCGUAGUAAUAUAUUUCGUUCCGGGCUUACAGUGGCUCCUGCCGUGAAACCCACUUUUUAAAGUUGACCUCGGAUCAGGUAGGAAUACCCGCUGAACUUAAGCAUAUCAAUAAGCGGAGG